RNAcentral lists this long non-coding RNA (4646 nucleotides) under Eutrema salsugineum. Its description in RNAcentral is "long non-coding RNA (ESAL_LNC001535)". The record is from RNAcentral. Lineage: Eukaryota; Viridiplantae; Streptophyta; Magnoliopsida; Brassicales; Brassicaceae.
ACCGACGAUAGCAUCUGCUGUCGCUGAUUUAACCAUCACCGACCCAACAUCUCAACUUUUCACCGGAGCAUGUCAAAACCCAGAAAUCGUCGACUAUUUCUAGAUCCUCUCAUUUCCGAUGAUAGAUUGACGUUAAUUCAUCCUCACCGCUGACUGAUUCCGCUGCUACCUUAACCGAUGCAGCUCAGCUCUGCAAUCCCAGGUAAAUUCCGAAACUCCCAUAGCCAUCUCUUUACCAAAAUGUUAUUUCAGUUUCUGUUGCUGUGAUUUGCAAUUACUUCUGAAAUCUUACUGUCUUCCUUUUCAUCUGCAGCUGCUGAAGACACUUUUGAUUUCAAAAACUAAGCAUCGUGAAUUGCAGGUAAAACCCCAAAUUCCUUUGACGCUUCCAAACUUUCAAAUUUGACCACCUGAAAAUUUUGCCAUUUGAGAAGAUCAACCCGUAAUGAAACACUUCUUCUCUGUUACCCUGAAAUGAUGACUUUUACCAAUCUCAUCUCACAUUUUUCAAACUUUACAAUCUGAAAAAACUUUGUCGAUUUCUUAUGUUACCGAUACUGAAUUUUUUUUUUCAAUAUCUUCUGUCUUUGUGAGAUGCCCAAAUCGACAAGAGCAAUCUCAAGACGCUUUUGGAAACAACUACGGAAUUACAUUGAGAAGCACCAGGAACUUCUCAAACGUGUUUCCAGGUAAGCACUUUGUGAGCAUGUCUGCUGGAUUAGCUGUAGUGUGAACCUUUAGGAUCUUGACUGAACCUUCAUCGACUAUAUCUCUGAUAAAAUGAUAUUUGGUAUCAACAUGCUUUGUUCUGUCAUGGUGCACACUGUUCUUUGCUAAACAUAUAGCACUUUGUGAAUUACAAUUGAGUUUAAAACUGUCCUCUUUAAAACCCAAUUCACCACACAAUCCCUUAAGCCACAGACCUUCCUUAGUAGCCUCAGAUAGAGACAUAUAUUUUGCUUUCGUAGUAGAUAAAGCAACUACUUGUUGUAGACAUGAUCUCCAACUGACCGUAUUGCCACCAACUUUGAAAACAUAGCCUGAAACUGACCUUCUCCUGUCUAAGUCUGUAGCAUAAUCUGAAUCACAAAACCCUUCAAUCUCAAAUUUCUCUGAUUUUGUGAAAGUAAGACAUACUCCUGUAGCUCCUUUUAAAUACCUCAAAAUCCACUUAACCGCAGCCCAAUGAGAUCUUCCUGGAUUCGCCAUGAAUCUGCUAACCAAUCCAAUGGCAAAGGCUAGAUCAGGUCUUGAACCGAUCAUAGCAUACAUCAGACUCCCCACUGCACUUGCAUAGGGAACUGAAUCCAUCAAUCUACUCUCUGUUUUUACCUCCUGCUCUGUUAGACUCUUAAGCUUAAACUGCGAAUUACUUGGAGUUACAACAGCCUUGCAAUCCUCCAUGUUAAAAGUUCUUAAAACCUGCUUAAGAUAUCUUUCCUGUGAUAACUUGAGAGUACCUUUCUUUCUGUCCCUGAUGAUAUCCAUACCAAGAAUUCUAGUCGCUGGUCCUAGAUCCUUCAUCUCGAACUUUUUACUUAAGCUUGCCUUCAAGGCUUUGAUCUUUUCCAUAUUCUUUGCUGCCACAAGCAUGUCAUCGACAUAUAGUAAGAGAUAAACCAUAUCAUCAAUACAUGAUCCCUUAGUGUAAACACAUGGAUCCCUAGCGCUCCUUUGAAACUCCAUUGACUUCAUGAAUUCAUCAAACUUCUGAUUCCAUUGUCUAGGUGACUGUUUCAAACCAUAUAGAGAUUUCUUAAGAAGACAGACCUUGUCUUCGUUUCCCUUCUCUAUAAAACCCUCUGGCUGACUCAUGUAAAUGACUUCAUCAAGUGUACCAUGUAAGAAAGCAGUUUUCACGUCUAGUUGCUCCAAUUCCAGAUCAAAAUUAACCACAACUGACAACAUGAUUCUAAUAGAAACAUGCUUAACCACCGGAGCAAAUAUUUCGUUGUAAUCCACUCCUUCAACCUGUGUAAAUCCCUUAGCUACAAGUCUUGCUUUGUAUCUAGGUUCUUCAACACCUGGAAUGCCCUCCUUGUACUUGAAGAUCCACUUACACCCAACUAUUUUCUGCUUUCUCGGCUUAGAGACAAUCUCAAAAGUUUCAUUUUUAUCCAGAGAUUGUUUUUCCUCUUCCAUAGCCUGCUUCCACUUCUUCCAGUCUUUACUUCGUCUAGCUUCUGCGACUGACCUUGGUUCAUUUAACUCUAUGCUUUCAGCGCUAGUUAAAGCAUAAGCUAAAUAAUCAGCAUCCUCAAACCUCGAUGGUGGUUUGAUAGUUCUUCGCUCUAUGUCUCUUGCCAGCAAAUAAUCAUCAAGAGACUCUUCUUCAUCCUGAUUUUCUUGUUCUUCCUCAGAUUCCUGCUCCUCUUCUGAUUCUGAAUGUUCCGAAGUAGCUCCACCUUGACCAGCAGAAUCUGUAUUUCCUGAAACCUCUCCACCUUGACCAGUGGACUCUUGAACCGAACCAUUUGGAGUAGGUCCUUGGAUCAAUCCAGCUUUGAAAGUAACUUUCUUCUUCUUUGUAGAUUUUGUUACUUCAUUCUGAUCUCGGUCCUUAUACAACUUUUCCUCAUCAAAGACUACAUUCCUGCUGUUAGUACAUUUUCCAUCCUCCAGAAUCCAAACCCUGUAACCUUUAGUACCCUGUGGAUAUCCUAAGAAAAUCCCUUUAACAGCUCUUGGACUCAUCUUGUCUUGUAUUACAUGAACAUAUGCAACACAACCAAAUCGUCUGAGAUGACUGUAAUCAACCUUUGAUCCUGACCAAACCUCUUCAGGAAUCUUGAACUUCAGCGAUGCAUUUGGUGAUCUGUUUAUGAGAUAAACUGCAGUAGAAGCUGCCUCAGCCCAAAAUUUCUUUUCCAUUCCUGUUUCUGCUAACAUACACCUGAUCUUCUCAGCUAUUGUCCGAUUCAUCCUCUCAGAUACUCCAUUUUGCUGUGGAGUAUAAGUGCAAGUUCGAUGUCUUUUAAUCCCUGAAUCCUGACAUAGCUUAUCCAUCUGAUUGUUGCAGAACUCUAAUCCAUUAUCAGUUCGCAGACACUUUAUCUUCUUACUCUUCUGAUUUUCCACUAGUGUUUUCCACUCUGAAAAAUUUUCAAACACUUCGUCCUUACUCCUUAGGAAUCUGAUCCAAACCUUCCUUGAGUAAUCAUCAAUGAAAGUAAGAAAGUAUCUACACCCUGUCAUGCUUGGCUCGUUUGACACUGAGCCCCAAAGAUCACUGUGAAUGUAUUCCAAAAUACACGUAGUAGUGUGUUGGCCAACUGGAAAACUCUGCUUGUGAGACUUACCAAACACACACUUUUCACAGAAAUCUAAAGUGUGGACUUCCUUUGAGUCUAGAUAACCUCCUUUGACCAGAAGAUUCAUGUUCUUAAGACUCAUAUGUCCUAGCCUUGAAUGCCAUCUGUUCGUUAGAUUUACCUCCGUCCUGACCACAGAUGCUUCUCCUCUCACAACUGUUCCCUGCAAAUAGUACAGCCCGUUCUCAUAUUUUCCUGAAAUCACUUUCUGGCCCUUCUUGUAGAAAGUAACUAUGAAGUCCUUCCCUUCAUACUUGCACCCGUUCUUCUCUAGCUGGCCAUAAGAGAUGAGAUUUUUGCUCAUGGUUGGCAUGUAUCUCACAUCAGUUAAUAUCACGGUAGCUCCUUCUGAGUUUAUGAUCUUGAUUUUCCCAAUGCCUUUGACUUCGCUGUGAGUGUUGUUACCCAUCAUCACCUUUCCGCCAUCAACUUCUUUGAAGUCAUACAAGACAUCUCUAUCAGGUGUAAUGUGGAAAGUACACCCAGAAUCCAUGACCCAUUCAUCCAUAGUGUCUUGGACGCUUGCUGUUAAGAUCAUAGGUUCCUCUCUUUCAUGUACUACAUUUGCAAAUCUUGUUUCCCAUACUUUCUUUCAGGGCACUCUUUCUUGUAGUGUCCUUCUUUCCCACAUAUCCAACAUUCUCUAGCUUUUGGUUGAUUCUUUGGUCUAGACUUCGACAUUGAAUCUCUGCUCUUGGAUCUACCUUUACUCUGACCUGUAGUCCUCUUUUCAGACCUCCCUCUACUUGCAACCAAAGCAUCUGCACUUGACUUUGAUUUUCCUAGAAGUCCACUCUCUUUUAGCUCGAUUUCCUUGGCAUAUGCUGAAGCGGUAACUUCAUUCAUAGUAAGUGUCUCUUUCCCGUUGCCGUAUUUGAGAGUAUGAACUAGUGAAUCAAACUGCUUAGGUAAGCUAGACAACACCUGAAUUGCCUGAUCUUCAUCACUUAUAGUUAUACUCAAGCUCUCCAAAUCGUCCACCAGUCUAAGAAACACGUCAAGAUUCUCCUCUAUGCUUUUGUGCUCUUCCAUCUUAAAACUGGCAAAUCUCUGCUUCAGAUAAAUGCGAUUUGGUAAGGUCUUUGUCUGGUAAUCCUUUUCUAGAGCUUUCCACACACCUAGAGCUGUUGUUUGCUUCAUAACCUUCCGCAAGACCAGAUUACUAAGGCUGGAACAUAUCAAGUUCUUUGCCUUUUUGUCUAUCUCCUUCUUCUUUGGAUCAACCGGAGAUGGAGUUGCCUUAGCAUCUGUCUCAUCUUCUUUUCCUUUUCCUUUGUCAGAUGCUGCGAUAGUUUAUUCCUCAUUAAUUGCAGAAUCUAACCCUAGAUUUUCAAG